Molecule: non-coding RNA, 1231 nt
Organism: Microcebus murinus (gray mouse lemur)
Lineage: Eukaryota; Metazoa; Chordata; Mammalia; Primates; Cheirogaleidae
Source: RefSeq, a predicted model, not a curated record
AUGGAUAAGCCAAAAAUUCAUGUUAUUUUCAAAUAUGAGCUCCAUCACAGAACCAAUGCUGCACAGACAGCUCGAAAUAUCAAUGUGUUUGGGAAGGAUGUGGCUAAUGAACACACAGUACAUCAAUGGUUUGAGAAGUUCCAUUCUGGUGAUUUCAAUCUUGAAAAUGAGUCAUGUGGGCAACAUGAGACCAAAGUGGAUAAUGAUGAGGUGAAAGCCAUAGUGGAAGCAAAUCCAUCUCAACCUAAGUGUGAAUUACCAGAAAGGUUCAACAUUAUUAUUCCAACAAUAUUGGACCAUUUGAAACAAAUCAGCAAGACUUCCCACAUCGGGAACUACAAAGUUGAUGCCUGGUACUUCUCACUGUUCCCUGAAGACUACGGGAAACAGCCCAAGCUCUGGCUGUGCGAGUACUGCCUCCAGUACAUGAAAUACGAGAAGAGCUACCGCUUCCACUUGGGCCAGUGUCAGUGGUGGCAGCCCCCUGGGAUUUACCGCAAGAGCAACAUCUCUGUGUAAGAAGGACGGCAAGACCACAAGAUUUACUGUCAGAACCUGUGUCUGCUGGCCAAGCUCUUCCUGGACCACAAGACGUUGUACUUUGACGUGGAGCCCUUGGUCUUUUACAUUUUGACUGAGGUGGACAGGCAAGGGGCCCACAUUGUCGGCUACUUUUCUAAGGAGAAGGAGUCUCCAGAUGGAAACAACGUGGCCUGCAUCCUCACCCUGCCCCCACCAGCACCGUGCUACAGAAAGUUCCUUGUUGCUCCCAGUGACGAGCUCUCCAAGCUAGAGAGCACAGUAGGCUCCCCAGAGAAGCCGCUGUCUGGCCUGGGCAGACUCAGCUACUGCAGCUAUUGGUCGUGGGUCCUGCUGGAGAUCCCGCAGGACUUCUGGGGCACGCUGCCCAUCAAGGACCUUAGCCAGAUGGCCAGUAUCACCCAGAAUGACAUCACCAGUACCCUGCAGUCCCUCAACAUGGUCAAGUACUGGAAAGGCCAGCAUGUGAUCUGUGUCACACCCACACUGGUAGAGGAACACCUUAAAAGUUGCCCACCCAUCACAGUGGACUCUGUCUGCCUCAAGUGGGCACCCCCAAAACACAAGCAAAUCAAACCCUCCAAGAAGUGAGCAGCCUGUGCCCCUGCCACCAGACCCAUGCCUCUUACCCCCAGCCUGUAAACAUGCACAGACCUGUUUUCUCAUUUUUUGAAUAAAGUAAAUUCUGGUG